Molecule: long non-coding RNA, 527 nt
Organism: Camelina sativa (false flax)
Lineage: Eukaryota; Viridiplantae; Streptophyta; Magnoliopsida; Brassicales; Brassicaceae
Source: RefSeq, a predicted model, not a curated record
UACUCGCCUCUGCCGUCUUCUCAUCUCCAUCUUCCUCUGAUUCUCCCUCACGCAAUGUGUAGCUUCAUCUUCCUCCUCGUCUUUACCCUUUAAUUUUUCUCUUCUCUUUGUCUCUUUCCUUCUCUUUCUUACCGCCGCUGCUUCUCUUUGUCUCUUUCCUUCUCUUUCUUACCGCCGCUGCUUCUAGAUCUGAUCCACUAAAACCAUUUGCAGAAGAUUUGAUUCUUGUUAUUUCGACGAAAACUAGUUUUUACAAGAGACUGGGAAGAUCAGGUGAUUCAUGAACUAUGAAGUAUGAACAUCAAAGAGUGUGCAAAGGAGUCGAGAUAUGACAACAUAAACUCAAAACAAUCUUCGGAAGCAGCUCGAGAAACUGAACGCUCAAAUCAUUUUUUUUGCUCAUCUCCAUCGUUUUUAAUUUCUUUCACGUCUUUAGACUCGAUUGUAUUAGUUAAUUUCGACGUAUAUACAAAAUUCGUUGUAAUUGUAAUUUUUUUUAUAAUUAAUAGUAUUCAUUAUUUUUGUUA